RNAcentral lists this ribosomal RNA (861 nucleotides) under Leucocybe candicans. Its description in RNAcentral is "eukaryotic LSU rRNA". It matches the Rfam family "Eukaryotic large subunit ribosomal RNA", at positions 79 to 922 of the family's 3401-position model. Lineage: Eukaryota; Fungi; Basidiomycota; Agaricomycetes; Agaricales; Lyophyllaceae. The record is from RNAcentral.
CCUAGUAACUGCGAGUGAAGCGGGAAAAGCUCAAAUUUAAAAUCUGGUGGUCCUUGUGGCCGUCCGAGUUGUAAUCUAGAGAAGCGUUAUCCGCGCCGGACCGUGUACAAGUCUCCUGGAACGGAGCGUCAUAGAGGGUGAGAAUCCCGUCUUUGACACGGACUACCGGGGCUUUGUGAUGCGCUCUCAAAGAGUCGAGUUGUUUGGGAAUGCAGCUCUAAAUGGGUGGUAAAUUCCAUCUAAAGCUAAAUAUUGGCGAGAGACCGAUAGCGAACAAGUACCGUGAGGGAAAGAUGAAAAGAACUUUGGAAAGAGAGUUAAACAGUACGUGAAAUUGUUGAAAGGGAAACGCUUGAAGUCAGUCGCGUUGGCCGGGGAUCAACCUUGCUCUUUUGCUUGGCGUACUUUCCGGUCGACGGGUCAGCAUCAAUUUUGACCGGUGGAUAAAGGUCAGGGGAAUGUGGCAUCUUCGGAUGUGUUAUAGCCCUUGGUCGCAUGCAUCGAUUGGGAUUGAGGAACUCAGCACGCCGCAAGGCCGGGUUUUUAACCACGUACGUGCUUAGGAUGCUGGCAUAAUGGCUUUAAUCGACCCGUCUUGAAACACGGACCAAGGAGUCUAACAUGCCUGCGAGUGUUUGGGUGGAAAACCCGGACGCGUAAUGAAAGUGAAAGUUGAGAUCCCUGUCGCGGGGAGCAUCGACGCCCGGACCAGACCUUUUGUGACGGUCCCGCGGUAGAGCAUGUAUGUUGGGACCCGAAAGAUGGUGAACUAUGCCUGAAUAGGGUGAAGCCAGAGGAAACUCUGGUGGAGGCUCGUAGCGAUUCUGACGUGCAAAUCGAUCGUCGAAUUUGGGUAUAGGG